AAUGAUUUCACGAUAGUGGGAGCGAGUACGAGGCUCGGAGGAAUUGUGGAAUUAGUUCGAACGAUUAAUUUUCGAAAAAACGAACGUUAUUUAGGGGGUCUCAAAAAGUGACUUUUUAUACAUUGGGAAUUUGGGAAAACUUCCUUCAUGAAAGUUGUAGAGGACAUUAAACCGAGUGCGUGCAUAUGUGGUACGUAAAAAUCGGAGUUCGUAUGCGAAAGUUAUAAGCAAAAUAUGAAAGUUACUGUUUAUGGUAGAUUGGUAUAAAUUUGAAAUGUUACUGUAGCCAGGUAACUUUUCUUUCUUUUCUCUCUCCUUCCCCCGUGCUCUCUCAGUCUCUCUCUUCUGCAACUCUCUCUUUCUCUCUUCUGCAACCUCCUCUUUCACCACCUCUAGACCACCAAAUGGCGAGCUGCGAGCAUCGAUAGACUCGUCUCUUCCUCCUUAUCACGCAUGUGGGAGUUGUUUACGACGAUUUGGCCGGAAAUGUGGAGAUCGAAGCCAACAUUUUUACUGUAGCAAAUUAGUCAACGCCGAUUUCCGGCCACCUCCAGUCAUAAACCCAGGUCCAUUAGAAGCGCCUUAAGCCGCUCUUCAUGCUCGCCAAGUCUCAUAACCCAGAUCGAAGCAUGGAGGAAGAAAGCAUAAUUGGAAAAUUUCACUGUACAUCGGAGUGCUUAAUUGUUCGGCUACUUCAAGGUGAUUGACGGUUUGAGUUGGUGGACGAUUGUGGAUCGUAUUUUGAGCUGAAUUGAAGACGCAGCGGGAUUAUCGAGCGGGAAAUCCUACAGGACAGGAGAACCAGGACGGUGAUCGUGCGGUUAGAGCAAUUGUUAGAGUUUUACAGCAAUUGUAAGUUGUGAGGUGCGUUAUGCUCAUUUAGAGCUUUACAAUAUUGCUUGUGAGAGUGAAUUGUAAUAAUGAACUCGAGGUUUCGAGAUUUGGAGUUUGUGUACCGUGUGGUGAAGUUAUAUUGAGAAAAAAAAAUUCAGAAUGUUUAUUUGAUUAAAUGGUUUAAUUC
Molecule: long non-coding RNA, 1021 nt
Organism: Rosa rugosa (rugosa rose)
Lineage: Eukaryota; Viridiplantae; Streptophyta; Magnoliopsida; Rosales; Rosaceae
Exons: 3
Source: RefSeq, a predicted model, not a curated record